This 73-nucleotide transfer RNA is filed under the name Ailuropoda melanoleuca (giant panda). It matches the Rfam family "tRNA". From Rfam's summary of the family: Transfer RNA (tRNA) molecules are approximately 80 nucleotides in length. Their secondary structure includes four short double-helical elements and three loops (D, anti-codon, and T loops). Lineage: Eukaryota; Metazoa; Chordata; Mammalia; Carnivora; Ursidae. The record is from Rfam by way of RNAcentral.
GCCCAGCUGGUGCAGUCGGUGGAGCGUGAGACUCUUGAUCUCAGGGUGGUGAGUUCAAGCCCCACGCUGGGUG